This 245-nucleotide unclassified non-coding RNA is filed under the name Hevea brasiliensis (rubber tree). The record is from RNAcentral. Lineage: Eukaryota; Viridiplantae; Streptophyta; Magnoliopsida; Malpighiales; Euphorbiaceae.
GGUCUGUAUAUAACCAUUGGUGCCUGACCCUCUUGGGGUCUGUAACCCCAUUCCCUUAUACAUCUCCUAGUAGUUGGCUGCAACCCUUAACAAUUCUUUACAAAAUCCGAUGGCUCUAAUCAACCCUAACAAAAAUUCAAGAACAGUGCCGCUGCCUGAUGAAGAAGAUUAAAUCUGAUCAGGUGCCCUUAACUUGGCAGAGAAAAUGAGAUAAAAUUAAAGAGAUAGAAAUGAAGAGAAAAUAA